AAUACAUGCAAGUGGAACGCUGAAGCUUGGUGCUUGCACCGAGCGGAUGAGUUGCGAACGGGUGAGUAACGCGUAGGUAACCUGCCUCUUAGCGGGGGAUAACUAUUGGAAACGAUAGCUAAUACCGCAUAAAAGUCGAUAUCGCAUGAUGUUGACUUGAAAGGUGCAAAUGCAUCACUAAGAGAUGGACCUGCGUUGUAUUAGCUAGUUGGUGAGGUAACGGCUCACCAAGGCGACGAUACAUAGCCGACCUGAGAGGGUGAUCGGCCACACUGGGACUGAGACACGGCCCAGACUCCUACGGGAGGCAGCAGUAGGGAAUCUUCGGCAAUGGGGGCAACCCUGACCGAGCAACGCCGCGUGAGUGAAGAAGGUUUUCGGAUCGUAAAGCUCUGUUGUAAGAGAAGAACGAGUGUGAGAGUGGAAAGUUCACACUGUGACGGUAACUUACCAGAAAGGGACGGCUAACUACGUGCCAGCAGCCGCGGUAAUACGUAGGUCCCGAGCGUUAUCCGGAUUUAUUGGGCGUAAAGCGAGCGCAGGCGGUUAGAUAAGUCUGAAGUUAAAGGCUGUGGCUUAACCAUAGUACGCUUUGGAAACUGUUUAACUUGAGUGCAGAAGGGGAGAGUGGAAUUCCAUGUGUAGCGGUGAAAUGCGUAGAUAUAUGGAGGAACACCGGUGGCGAAAGCGGCUCUCUGGUC
This 701-nucleotide ribosomal RNA is filed under the name uncultured Bacilli bacterium. Its description in RNAcentral is "bacterial SSU rRNA". It matches the Rfam family "Bacterial small subunit ribosomal RNA", at positions 50 to 734 of the family's 1533-position model. Lineage: Bacteria; Bacillati; Bacillota; Bacilli. The record is from RNAcentral.